Molecule: long non-coding RNA, 5067 nt
Filed under: Populus trichocarpa (black cottonwood)
Lineage: Eukaryota; Viridiplantae; Streptophyta; Magnoliopsida; Malpighiales; Salicaceae
Description: long non-coding RNA (PTRI_LNC002720)
Source: RNAcentral
CAAGAGAGAAAUUUGAGAGCAAGUAGAGAGAGUGAAGAGAGAGUAAUCCCACAAAGUUGUGAGGUAUUUGUGAGAGAGUAAGUGAGGUGUUUUCUCCUAGUAAUAGAGAGAUUUCAGUUGUUCUCCUAUUGUUAGAGAGAGGUUGUAAUUCCCACAUUACUUAGUAAAAUCCUUCUAUACUUGUCCGUGGACGUAGCCAAAUUGGGUGAACCACGUAAAUUCUUGUGUGUCUAAUUUCUCAUUUUAUCCUAUCCUUUGCCUUUUAUCUUGUCGGGUUUGCAUGCCAGUAUGCUAACAGUGGUAUCAGAGCCUUCUGGUUGGUGUUGUUAAUACACAAAAGUUAUUCGUGUAUACGGUUACUAUUCACGUCUACGGCACUAUUCAUCCAUACGGUACUGUUCACAUACGUUACUGUUGGCGUAUAUAGAAAGUCAGUGCGGUGAUUAAAUACAGUCUAGGAAGUUCUGUCUAAGGAGAUUGGGUUUUAAGCGGGACCGUUUGUGACCCCUCCAAUCUUUCCUGGGAACUUACUUAGUGAAGUAUUAUUCACACGAUACUAUUUCUACAUACGUUACAGAUCUGUGAAACGGUGAUAGCUGAAUAGAUCUCGGUGAAUACAAUGGCAGCAAAGUACAAGAUAGAGAGGUUCAAGGGGAGCAAUUUCUCACUGUGGAAAAUGAGAAUCAAGGCAAUCUUAAGGAAAGACAAUUGCUUGGCAGCAAUUGGGGAACGGCCCGCGGAGAUCACUGAUAAUGCAAAAUGGAAUGAAAUGGAUGGCAAUGCUAUUGCAAACAUACAUUUAGCAUUAGCCGAUGAAGUAUUAUCAAGUGUGGCGGAGAAGAAAACAGCUAAGGAGAUAUGGGAGACUCUAACAAAGCUAUAUGAGUCCAAGUCUUUGCACAAUAAGAUUUUCUUAAAGCGGAGACUUUAUACCCUUCGAAUGGCAGAAACCACGGCGGUGACUGACCACAUCAACACAAUAAGAACUCUAUUUUCACAACUCACUACGUUGGGUCAACAAAUAGAGGAAAGUGAACGUGCAGAGCUUCUACUUCAAAGUCUUCCAGAUUCGUAUGAUCAACUCAUUAUCAACUUGACCAAUAAUAUCCUCACAGACUAUUUAGUCUUUGAUGAUGUUGCAGCCGCCAUCUUGGAAGAAGAAAAUAGGCGCAAAAAUAAAGGAGACAGAAAUACUUCAAACCAAGCAGAGGCAUUGUUGGUGUCAAGAGGGAGAUCAACGGAGCGUGGCUCCAGUGGGAGUCAAAGGCAGGGGAGGUCCAAAUCAAGAAGUAAGAAGACUGUGAAAUGCUACAACUGUGGCAGAAAAGGGCACUUCAAAAGGGAUUGUUGGUUUAAAAAGGGUAUAGAGAACACUGCAGAGUCAUCAAAACCUCAAGGAUGUGUUGCGAGCACCUCAGAAGAUGGGGAGGUUUUAUAUAGUGAAGCAGCGACAAUCUCUACAGAUAGAGAAGAGCUUACUGAGGUCUGGCUAAUGGAUUCAGAAGCAACAUGGCAUAUGACUCCUAAUCGAGAUUGGUUCCAUACAUAUGAACCCAUCUUUAGAGGCAAAGUGUUCAUGGGUGAUAAUCAUGCUGUAGAGAUUGCUGGCAUUGGCACCAUCAAAUUGAAGAUGUAUGAUGGCUUAAUUCGCACUAUUUCAGGAGUGCGACAUGUGAAAGACUUAAAGAAGAAUCUUUUGUCCGUGGGACAAUUUGAUAGUCUUGGCUGUAAGAUCCGAACAGACAAUGGAAUAAUGAAAAUUGUCAAAGGAGCGCUGGUGGUUUUAAAGGCGAGAAAGACAGUUGCAAACAUGUUUGUAUUAAUGGGAGAAACACAUCAUGGGGCAGAAGCAUCAAUCGCAUCAGCCAGUCCUGCAGAAGAGAAGACGAUGAUGUGGCAUCAAAAACUAGGCCACAUGUCAGAGAAAGGUUUGAAAGUUCUCUCUGAUCAGAAGUUACUCCCUGGGCUUACAAAGGUUACUUUACCCUUUUGUGAGCAUUGUGUUACAAGCAAACAACACAGGUUGAAGUUUGGCACAUCAACAACUAAGAGCAAAUGCAUCUUAGACCUGAUUCACUCUGAUGUUUGGCAAGCACCGGUUGUAUCCUUGGGAGGAGCAAGAUACUUUGUAUCAUUCAUAGAUGACUUCUCCAGGAGAUGUUGGGUGUAUCCAAUUAGAAGGAAGGCAGAUGUGUUCGCAGUCUUUAAAACUUUCAAAGCGCGGGUGGAACUUGAAUCUGAAAAGAAGAUCAAGUGUUUGAGGACUGACAAUGGAGGAGAAUAUACCAGUGAUGAAUUUGAUAACUUCUGUCAACAUGAAGGUAUCAAAAGGCAGUUCACAACGGCAUACACUCCACAGCAAAAUGGAGUGGCAGAGCGGAUGAAUAGAACUCUAUUAGAAAGAACAAGAGCAAUGUUGAAGGCUGCAGGUCUAGGAAAGUCAUUCUGGGCAGAAGCAGUCAAUACCGCCUGUUAUGUGAUAAAUCGUUCUCCAUCAACUGCAAUUGAGUUGAAGACACCGAUGGAGAUGUGGACUGGAAAGCCAGCUGAUUAUUCCCAAUUUCAUAUAUUUGGAAGUCUUGUAUACGUGAUGUACAAUACACAAGAAGUUAGCAAGCUGGAUUCAAAAUCCAGAAAAUGUGUAUUCUUGGGAUAUGCUGAUGGAGUGAAGGGGUAUCGCUUGUGGGAUCCCACUGCCCACAAGGUAGUCAUCAGCAGAGAUGUUAUAUUUGCAGAAGGUAAAAUGCAAAUGGAAGAACAUAAUAGCAUUCCAAAGGAGACUACAGCAGUCCAGAUGGAAAAUACUCAGAAUGAUACUUCUUCUGAAGCUGCACCAGAGCAUGAAGAACAAGAACAAAUAGAUUCUGAAACUCCUGAAGUUCGACGGUCAACUCGUGAAAGAAGACCACAGGCUUGGCACUCAGAAUAUGUUACUGAGAGCAACAUUGCAUACUGUCUUCUAACAGAGGAUGGAGAGCCAUCAGCUUUCCAUGAGGCUAUCAAAAGCACAAAUGUAUCUAUGUGGAUGACAGCAAUGCAAGAGGAGAUUGAAGCUCUACACAAGAACAACACUUGGGAUCUUGUUCCGCUACCACAAGGAAGGAAGGCCAUUGGCAACAAAUGGAUUUACAAGAUAAAGCGUGAUGGCAAUGAUCAAGUGGAGCGGUACCGUGCAAGAUUGGUGAUGAAAGGAUAUGCUCAGAAAGAAGGAAUAGACUUUAAUGAGAUAUUUUCUCCAGUGGUACGACUUACUACAAUCAGAGUAGUCUUGGCAAUGUGUGCUAUAUUUGAUGUUCACUUAGAGCAGUUAGAUGUGAAAACUGCAUUUCUUCAUGGAGAACUUGAAGAAGAAAUUUAUAUGCUCCAACCAGAGGGUUUUGCUGAAACAGGCAAGGAGAACUUGGUUUGCAGGUUGAACAAAUCUCUAUACGGUCUCAAACAGGCGCCGAGGUGUUGGUACAAGAGAUUUGAUUCCUUCAUAAUUAGCCUUGGGUACAAUAGACUCAGUUCAGACCAUUGUACGUAUUACAAGAGGUUUGAAGAAGAUGAUGUUUUCAUCAUUUUGUUGUUGUACGUGGAUGACAUGUUGGUAAUAGGCCCCAACAAAGAUCGAGUCCAAGAAUUGAAGGCACAAUUGGCUAGGGAGUUCGAUAUGAAGGACUUGGGACCAACAAACAAGAUUCUAGGGAUGCAAAUUCACCGAGACAGAAGUAAGAGGAAGAUUUGGCUUUCUCAGAAAAAUUAUUUGAAGAAGAUCUUGCGACGCUUCAACAUGCAAGAUUGUAAGCCAAUUUCCACCCCACUUCCUGUUAACUUCAAAUUAUCCUCAAGUAUGUCUCCUAGCAAUGAAGCAGAGAGGAUGGAGAUGUCUCGAGUACCGUAUGCAUCAGCAGUGGGAAGUUUAAUGUUUGCCAUGAUAUGUACAAGACCAGACAUUGCACAAGCAGUGGGAGCAGCUAGUCGAUACAUGGCAAAUCCUGGUAGAGAGCAUUGGAAUACUAUUAAGAGGAUCUUGAGAUACAUCAAGGGUACCUCAGAUGCCGCAUUAUGUUAUGGAGGAUUAGAAUCUACUAUCAGAGGUUAUGUUGAUUCAGAUUUUGCUGGCGACCUUGAGAAAAGAAAAUCCACUACAGGCUAUGUGUUCAUAAUUGCAGGAGGAGCUGUGAGCUGGGUCUCUAAACUUCAGACUGUUGUAGCUUUAUCCACAACAGAAGCUGAGUACAUGGCAGCUACACAAGCUUGUAAAGAAGCAAUAUGGAUGAAGAAACUUAUGGAGGAGCUCGGGCACAAACAAGAGAAGAUUCUUUUGUAUUGUGAUAGUCAGAGUGCCUUGCAUAUUGCAAGGAAUCCAGCGUUUCAUUCAAGAACAAAACACAUAGAUGUUCAGUAUCACUUUGUUCGCGAAGUGGUGGAAGAUGGAAGUGUGGAUUUUCAGAAGGUUCACACAAAGGAAAACCCAGCAGAUGCUUUGACUAAACCAGUCAGCACUCAUAAGUAUAUAUGGUGCAGAUCCUCUUAUGGCCUAGUAGAAACGUAAGCAGCAUGAAGAUGGCAAGUAUAGAAAGGAUAGAAGAAUCACAGAUGAUCAUGUGUGAAGACUUGAUUAAAUCAUCAAAGUCUUCAAGUGGGAGAAUGUGAAGCCAGCCACCUAAGUCAACAAAGGUGGGAGUCAACAAUGGUGGUGAAGCCAUCCUUCCUUAGUCACAAAUUGUAGGCACCAAACUUGUGCCACUUGCCUUGCCCCUUGUGCCACUUGCCUUGCCCCUUGUAUUUACAUGGAUGCUUGCCUAUAAAUAGGCAAUGCAUCCAAGCAUUGUAAACACACCACAAGAGAGAAAUUUGAGAGCAAGUAGAGAGAGUGAAGAGAGAGUAAUCCCACAAAGUUGUGAGGUAUUUGUGAGAGAGUAAAUGAGGUGUUUUCUCCUAGUAAUAGAGAGAUUUCAGUUGUUCUCCUAUUGUUAGAGAGAGGUUGUAAUUCCCACAUUACUUAGUAAAAUCCUUCUAUACUUGUCCGUGGACGUAGCCAAAUUGGGUGAACCACGUAAAUUCUUGUGUGUCUAAUUUCUC